Molecule: ribosomal RNA, 496 nt
Filed under: uncultured bacterium
Lineage: Bacteria
Description: partial 16S ribosomal RNA
Rfam family: Bacterial small subunit ribosomal RNA
Source: RNAcentral
AUGAACGCUGGCGGCGUGCCUAAUACAUGCAAGUCGAGCGAACAGAUGAGGAGCUUGCUCCUCUGACGUUAGCGGCGGACGGGUGAGUAACACGUGGAUAACCUACCUAUAAGACUGGGAUAACUUCGGGAAACCGGAGCUAAUACCGGAUAAUAUAUUUAACCGCAUGGUUCAAUAGUGAAAGACGGGUUUGCUGUCACUUAUAGAUGGAUCCGCGCCGCAUUAGCUAGUUGGUAAGGUAACGGCUUACCAAGGCAACGAUGCGUAGCCGACCUGAGAGGGUGAUCGGCCACACUGGAACUGAGACACGGUCCAGACUCCUACGGGAGGCAGCAGUAGGGAAUCUUCCGCAAUGGGCGAAAGCCUGACGGAGCAACGCCGCGUGAGUGAUGAAGGUCUUCGGAUCGUAAAACUCUGUUAUUAGGGAAGAACAAAUGUGUAAGUAACUAUGCACGUCUUGACGGUACCUAAUCAGAAAGCCACGGCUAACUACGUG